Molecule: transfer RNA, 55 nt
Filed under: Fukomys damarensis (Damara mole-rat)
Lineage: Eukaryota; Metazoa; Chordata; Mammalia; Rodentia; Bathyergidae
Rfam family: tRNA
About the family: Transfer RNA (tRNA) molecules are approximately 80 nucleotides in length. Their secondary structure includes four short double-helical elements and three loops (D, anti-codon, and T loops). Further hydrogen bonds mediate the characteristic L-shaped molecular structure. tRNAs have two regions of fundamental functional importance: the anti-codon, which is responsible for specific mRNA codon recognition, and the 3' end, to which the tRNAs corresponding amino acid is attached (by aminoacyl-tRNA synthetases). tRNAs cope with the degeneracy of the genetic code in two manners: having more than one tRNA (with a specific anti-codon) for a particular amino acid; and 'wobble' base-pairing, i.e. permitting non-standard base-pairing at the 3rd anti-codon position.
Source: Rfam by way of RNAcentral
AGCUCAGAGGUAGAGCUCUUGCCUAGCAUGUAUGAGGCCUGGGUUCAAUACCCAG